Mycena alexandri is the source of this 92-nucleotide non-coding RNA. NCBI's taxonomy places the organism in Eukaryota, Fungi, Basidiomycota, Agaricomycetes, Agaricales, Mycenaceae. The record is from the annotation of a GenBank genome assembly.
CACCCGAUAGCACACGGUGUGCACCUGCUCUCAUUUGCAAGGGACUGAUGGAGUGUAAGCAGGAGGCCCCCGUUCGACUCGGGGUCGGGUGA